This 465-nucleotide ribosomal RNA is filed under the name Vreelandella stevensii. Its description in RNAcentral is "partial 16S ribosomal RNA". It matches the Rfam family "Bacterial small subunit ribosomal RNA", at positions 338 to 795 of the family's 1533-position model. The record is from RNAcentral. Lineage: Bacteria; Pseudomonadati; Pseudomonadota; Gammaproteobacteria; Oceanospirillales; Halomonadaceae.
CCUACGGGGGGCUGCAGUGGGGAAUAUUGGACAAUGGGCGAAAGCCUGAUCCAGCCAUGCCGCGUGUGUGAAGAAGGCCUUCGGGUUGUAAAGCACUUUCAGUGGGGAAGAAAGCCUUGGGGCUAAUACCCUCGAGGAAGGACAUCACCCACAGAAGAAGCACCGGCUAACUCCGUGCCAACAGCCGCGGUAAUACGGAGGGUGCGAGCGUUAAUCGGAAUUACUGGGCGUAAAGCGCGCGUAGGCGGUCUGAUAAGCCGGUUGUGAAAGCCCCGGGCUCAACCUGGGAACGGCAUCCGGAACUGUCAGGCUAGAGUGCAGGAGAGGAAGGUAGAAUUCCCGGUGUAGCGGUGAAAUGCGUAGAGAUCGGGAGGAAUACCAGUGGCGAAGGCGGCCUUCUGGACUGACACUGACGCUGAGGUGCGAAAGCGUGGGUAGCAAACAGGAUUAGAUACCCCAGUAGUC